CUGCUGGACGGCGAUGGGGUUCGCCGCUAACCGCCUGAAAGUCCUCUCGAGGCUGAUGACUCCUGCCAAUCC
This 72-nucleotide non-coding RNA is filed under the name Elusimicrobiota bacterium. Its description in RNAcentral is "Elusimicrobia bacterium Fluoride sequence". It matches the Rfam family "Fluoride riboswitch aptamer (crcB RNA motif)". Lineage: Bacteria; Pseudomonadati; Elusimicrobiota. The record is from RNAcentral.